RNAcentral lists this ribosomal RNA (253 nucleotides) under uncultured bacterium. RNAcentral describes it as "partial 16S ribosomal RNA". It matches the Rfam family "Bacterial small subunit ribosomal RNA", at positions 524 to 776 of the family's 1533-position model. The record is from RNAcentral.
UACGUAGGGUGCAAGCGUUAAUCGGAAUUACUGGGCGUAAAGCGUGCGCAGGCGGUUUUGUAAGUCUGUCGUGAAAGCCCACAGCUCAACCUGGGAAUUGCGAUGGAGACUGCAAGGCUUGAAUCUGGCAGAGGGGGGUAGAAUUCCACGUGUAGCAGUGAAAUGCGUAGAGAUGUGGAGGAACACCGAUGGCGAAGGCAGCCCCCUGGGUCAAGAUUGACGCUCAUGCACGAAAGCGUGGGGAGCAAACAGG